UAUUUUUAUUUUUUUUGAAAUAAUAAAUUGUCCUUUGAAAAUAUUCCAUUUUAUUUUCAAAAGAUAAAGUAUCCUUCAGGUGAUGAGAACUAUUCUUGGGGGAAAACUUUGUGUUUGCAUUUCUAGAAAUGAACUCUCAGACCUAACUCAUAGUUAAUACAAAACCCAAAAUGAACUUGGGCUUAUUGAUUUGCUUUGGUUGUUUAUUUUGAUUGUAGCAUCACAUUUGAAAUCUAAUUGUAAGCAUCACCUCUAAUCAAAGCUCUUUUAGUAUGUGUGACAAAUGCAUUUUAACAAAAUUGUACCCAUGUUUUAUUUGGUGAAAUAUUAUUUUGCUUAGGAAUUAACACUGUAAUUCUGUUUCACAGUUUAUCCAUGUAAUUUGAGUUUUUACAUGUCUUGCAGUUUCAUUCAUCCUAGAGUAGCUUUUGAGUUUAUUAGCUGGUUUCACUUAGUCUUGUUUAUAGGCCUAUCACUAUAGCUUCUAAGUGCUUCUCAGAUUAUGUUCCCUUUUAUGUUUAUCAAACUGUGUUUCCACAUAAAUGAAAACUCUUCAAUUGCUAGAA
This 566-nucleotide long non-coding RNA is filed under the name Pongo abelii (Sumatran orangutan). Its description in RNAcentral is "lincRNA". The record is from RNAcentral. Lineage: Eukaryota; Metazoa; Chordata; Mammalia; Primates; Hominidae.